UACGAAGGGUGCUAGCGUUGUUCGGAAUCACUGGGCGUAAAGCGCGCGUAGGCGGCGAUACAAGUCAGAGGUGAAAGCCUGGAGCUCAACUCCAGAACUGCCUUUGAAACUGUAUUGCUUGAGUGUCGGAGGGGAUAGCGGAAUUGCUAAUGUAGAGGUGAAAUUCGUAGAUAUUAGCAGGAACACCGGUGGCGAAGGCGGCUAUCUGGACGACAACUGACGCUGAGGCGCGAAAGCGUGGGGAUCAAACAGG
RNAcentral lists this ribosomal RNA (253 nucleotides) under uncultured prokaryote. RNAcentral's name for it is "partial 16S ribosomal RNA". It matches the Rfam family "Bacterial small subunit ribosomal RNA", at positions 524 to 776 of the family's 1533-position model. The record is from RNAcentral.